This 586-nucleotide ribosomal RNA is filed under the name uncultured bacterium. Its description in RNAcentral is "bacterial SSU rRNA". It matches the Rfam family "Bacterial small subunit ribosomal RNA", at positions 202 to 812 of the family's 1533-position model. The record is from RNAcentral.
GAAAGAUUUAUCGGUAUUGGAUUAGCCCGCGUUUGAUUAGCUAGUUGGUGAGGUAAUGGCUCACCAAGGCUACGAUCAAUAGCUGGUCUGAGAGGAUGAUCAGCCACACUGGGACUGAGACACGGCCCAGACUCCUACGGGAGGCAGCAGUGGGGAAUAUUGGACAAUGGGCGCACGUGAUCCAGCCAUUCCGCGUGAGUGAUGACGGCCCUAGGGUUGUAAAGCUCUUUCAACGGUGAAGAUAAUGACGGUAACCGUAGAAGAAGCCCCGGCUAACUUCGUGCCAGCAGCCGCGGUAAUACGAAGGGGGCUAGCGUUGUUCGGAAUCACUGGGCGUAAAGCGCACGUAGGCGGACUUUUAAGUCAGGGGUGAAAUCCCGAGGCUCAACCUCGGAACUGCCUUUGAUACUGGAAGUCUUGAGUUCGAGAGAGGUGAGUGGAACUCCGAGUGUAGAGGUGAAAUUCGUAGAUAUUCGGAAGAACACCAGUGGCGAAGGGGCUCACUGGCUCGAUACUGACGCUGAGGUGCGAAAGGUGGGGAGCAAACAGGAUUAGAUACCCUGGUAGUCCACGCCGUAAACGAUGA